UGCCAGCCGCCGCGGUAAUACGGAGGGGGCUAGCGUUAAUCGGAAUUACUGGGCGUAAAGCGCGCGUAGGCGGCUUUGUAAGUCGGAUGUGAAAGCCCUGGGCUUAACCUGGGAAUGGCAUUCGAUACUGCAGAGCUAGAGUAUGGUAGAGGGAAGUGGAAUUUCCGGUGUAGCGGUGAAAUGCGUAGAUAUCGGAAGGAACACCAGUGGCGAAGGCGGCUUUCUGGACCGAUACUGACGCUGAGACGCGAAAGCGUGGGGAGCAAACAGGAUUAGAUA
This 279-nucleotide ribosomal RNA is filed under the name uncultured bacterium. RNAcentral's name for it is "partial 16S ribosomal RNA". It matches the Rfam family "Bacterial small subunit ribosomal RNA", at positions 506 to 784 of the family's 1533-position model. The record is from RNAcentral.